UGUUCUUCAAUUUUGGCUUGCUGGAAUGCUAUGGCCUGACUGAGGCUGUCAAGAGCAGGAUUCUCCCCUUCAUCUUCACUUUCUACUACUUCCUCAAUUUCUUCUGGUUCAGGAGCUUUCUUUUUUUUUCUUUUUUUCUUUCUUCUUUGGAGGCUCACGUUCUCCAAGCAUAUUUUUCGGACAGGCAUAACUUAAGUGUCCAUUUUCCCCACAUUCAUAACACUUGGAUUUAUCAAAGUAGUUUCGCCUUCAGAUGAACACAGCUGCUCUUCCAUUGUCAAUACCAAUGCUUGCUUUUAUCACUCUACCAAAUAACUGUUUGUUGUUUAUUGCCC
Molecule: long non-coding RNA, 335 nt
Filed under: Homo sapiens (human)
Lineage: Eukaryota; Metazoa; Chordata; Mammalia; Primates; Hominidae
Description: non-protein coding lnc-ITGB1BP2-1:1
Source: RNAcentral